GGAGGCCCGCUGCGCCUGGCGGUUUGAAGCAAACAGGCAGCGCGCGACAAUGGCGGCAGCUGGUGCAGUUUUGGGGCCAUUGGUGACGGGUCUGUACGACGUGCAGGCUUUCAAGUUUGGGGACUUCGUGCUCAAGAGCGGACUCUCCUCCCCCAUCUACAUCGAUCUUCGGGGCAUCGUGUCUCGACCGCGUCUUCUGAGUCAGGUUGCGGAUGUUUUAUUCCAAACUGCCCAAAAUGCAGGAAUCAGUUUUGACACCGUGUGUGGAGUGCCUUAUACAGCUUUGCCAUUGGCUACAGUUAUCUGUUCAACCAAUCAAAUUCCAAUGCUUAUUAGAAGGAAAGAAACAAAGGAUUAUGGAACUAAGCGUCUUGUAGAAGGAACUAUUAAUCCAGGAGAAACCUGUUUAAUCAUUGAAGAUGUUGUCACCAGUGGAUCUAGUGUUUUGGAAACUGUUGAGGUUCUUCAGAAGGAGGGCCUGAAGGUCACUGAUGCCAUAGUGCUGUUGGACAGAGAGCAGGGAGGCAAGGACAAGUUGCAGGCGCACGGGAUCCGCCUCCACUCAGUGUGUACGUUGUCCAAAAUGCUGGAGAUUCUCGAACAGCAGAAAAAAAUUGAUGCUGAGACGGUUGGGAGAGUGAAGAGAUUUAUUCAGGAGAAUGUCUUUGUGGCAGCGAAUCAUAAUGGGUCUCCCCUUUCUAUAAAGGAAGCACCCAGAGAACUCAGCUUCAGUGCACGUGCAGAGCUGCCCAGGAUCCACCCAGUUGCAUCGAAGCUUCUCAGGCUUAUGCAAAAGAAGGAGACCAAUCUGUGUCUAUCUGCUGAUGUUUCAGAGGCCAGAGAGCUGUUGCAGCUAGCAGAUGCUUUAGGACCCAGUAUCUGUAUGCUCAAGACUCAUGUAGAUAUUUUGAAUGAUUUUACUCUGGAUGUGAUGAAGGAGUUGAUAACUCUGGCAAAAUGCCAUGAGUUCUUGAUAUUUGAAGACCGGAAGUUUGCAGAUAUAGGAAACACAGUGAAAAAGCAGUAUGAAGGAGGUAUCUUUAAAAUAGCUUCCUGGGCAGAUCUGGUAAAUGCCCACGUGGUGCCAGGCUCAGGAGUUGUGAAAGGCCUGCAAGAAGUGGGCCUGCCUUUGCAUCGGGGGUGCCUCCUUAUUGCGGAAAUGAGCUCCACCGGCUCCCUGGCCACUGGGAACUACACUAGAGCAGCGGUUAGAAUGGCUGAGGAGCACUCUGAAUUUGUUGUUGGUUUUAUUUCUGGCUCCCGAGUAAGCAUGAAACCAGAAUUUCUUCACUUGACUCCAGGAGUUCAGUUGGAAGCAGGAGCUCCCUGGAUCCAGCCUGGUUACCGGGAAGACAAAAACUGGGCUCCACCAAGAACCAGUCUUCUGCCAUCACCUCUGGCUGUAUCAGUGAUCUCUCCCAGCGAAAUAGCCGCUUGGUCUUGUGUGAAUCCUGUACUUGAACAUAGUGGACCGAGUGUCAGUCAUUGAAAAUGACCAUGAGUAACCCUCUGGACUCUGCAGCUUGGUUCCUUUGCCCCUUAACAGCUCCAUGUCUGCACCCCUGGAGGGUCUGAAGGCCUGAAUAGGAGCUGGGUCCUGACUAUGAAGCCUGGAGCCCUGGGGGAGAACAGGAUGCCAGGUGGGAGAAACCUAACUAGGCCUUCUCAGCUGGGGGACCUCCAGAGGAGCCCCAAUGCCGAGUCGCAGCCAGGAGAAAGGCCACAGCUGAGUGCUCACAGCCUCCAUGCAGGCAGUGACCCAGCUCCAGGCAUGUUCACAUGCCAUGCCCUGUCUGCAUUUCCAGUGCCCACUGGACAAACCCCCAGCUUCCUCGGGCACCUCACACCCCACAGGCGCAACACCUCCUCCGGAGCCUCAUCCCAGCGCUGUCACUGUCGGCCUUUGUGUCUUUUAAUUCCCCUCACCUCCUCUCUGCCAGUCUCAAAGCUUGUUACUAGCUGUAUUAGUCUGCUCAGGCUGCCAUAACAAAAUAUCACAGACUGGGUGGUUUCAACAACUGUUACUUUCUCAUAGUUUUGGAGGCUGUGGAAGUUCAAGAUCAUGUGUCAGCAGAAAUGGUUUCCCCUAAGGCCUCUCCUUUUGGCUUGCAGGCAGCCACCUUCUCACUGUGUCUUCACACAGCCUUUCCUCUCUGCAGCCCUGGGGUCUCUACCUGGUCUUAUAAAGACACCAGCUGCAUUGAGUUAGGGUACCACCCUAUGACCUCAUUUAAUCGCAAUUCAUUCUUUAAAGACUCCAUCAUCUCCAAAUACUAUCACAUUGGGGCUUUAGGGCUUACAACAAAUGAAUUUUUGCAGGGACACAAUCCAUUCCAUAACAGUAGCUGAGUAUACAAGGCUGUCCUCAGCAGCAAGUAGGAACCAUGGUAUUGGAUGUCCUCCGGGGAGGGGGAGGAGCUAAAGGACAUACUCCAGCAGAGAAGGACCUUCUGUCCACCCUGACAUUUUUUCCCCAUCUGGUUGCUCUUACCUGAAAUUCAUCCCAAGAGUUUUUCAUGGUAAUCACCUCAAGCUUUGAUCCUAAUUAAACAAAUUUAAAAAUCACAUUUCUUCCCUGGAAGAGGUAGCUAUUGGCCACUUUAGUUUCAUAAAGUACUAGUCAAUCAAGCUGUAUGAGAAUUCCCUUUUUUUUUUCUUUUUUGUAGAGCCAGGGUCUCAUUGUGUUGCCCAGGCUGGUCUCGAACUCCUGGGCUUAGGCAAUCCUCCCACCUUGCUCUCCCAAAGUGUUGAGAUUACAGUCUUGAGACACCGUGCCCGACCAAAGGCCCAUUUUGAUAAAAGUAUCUUAAAAUUACAAAAUGACCUAUCUGGGGGUGGGUUGUGAAAUGAAGCGUUUGGAAUAGAUUAUCUUUGUGGUCACUGGCAGCUCGCUGGAUAACCUUCACAUCAUACAUUGGGUCGGAAUCUCAGGAGUCAGAUCUCCAAACAGCUCAUUCCAAGAGCUUCCAGCAGAGGGCAGCAAGGCACCGUGAGCGCGGGUUCCGUAACAUCCCUCCGCGUCAGACUGAAGACCUCCAGCUUCCACGUCAGGUGGAACUAGAACACAUCUUCCUUUGCUAUCUGUGACUCAAGAAUGUUGUGCCCAGGCCAGGUGCGGUGGCUCACGUCUGUAAUCCCAACAUUUUGGGAGGCCAAGGUGGGAGGAUCGCUUGAGCUUGGGAGUUCUAGACCAACCAGC
Molecule: RNA transcript, 3199 nt
Organism: Rhinopithecus roxellana (golden snub-nosed monkey)
Lineage: Eukaryota; Metazoa; Chordata; Mammalia; Primates; Cercopithecidae
Gene: UMPS
Gene name: uridine monophosphate synthetase
Exons: 7
Source: RefSeq, a predicted model, not a curated record